This is a non-coding RNA of Pelobates cultripes (western spadefoot toad), 490 nucleotides long. The record is from the annotation of a GenBank genome assembly. Lineage: Eukaryota; Metazoa; Chordata; Amphibia; Anura; Pelobatidae.
GGCAUGCCAUUUUAAUGCACAUCUUCAUGACACAAAGAAAUUUGACUUAGAGUACAACUGUCUCCUCAACACUAUGUAUACAUAUUUUUAAUUUAAAAUCUUUUUUAAUAAACCUUUCACCAUUUUCAUUGGAAAUAAACUCUUUGUUAAAUAGUGUAUACACUUGUACCUACCUUUAGUAGCCAUAUACAUACACCUUCUGUCACAGUGUUUAAAUGUGAUAGCUGGUCUGAUAAUUUAGCAGUGGAGACUAUAUAGAGGUUUUCCAAUACUGUCUGACCCAAGGUGCAUGUACAUGGCUGAAGGGUCCUAUCCUAUACUACGGGUAGGGAAGAUUUUCUCUUCUUUUCUUACAUAGAAUAUUAAUAAAAGCAUAUUUCCUUUCAAAACUCGUUGAAAGGAUCAUUAUAUUAAAAAAUAAAUAAAAUAAAAGCUUCAAGUGUCAGUUGUCCUGUAGCUCUGGUCGACACAUGAUUUUAUCUUUUCGUUA